Non-coding RNA from Microcebus murinus (gray mouse lemur), 674 nucleotides. The record is from RefSeq and is a predicted model, not a curated record. NCBI's taxonomy places the organism in Eukaryota, Metazoa, Chordata, Mammalia, Primates, Cheirogaleidae.
AUUUUAGGUAUCAAGAUGGCGGCCCCCAUGGAUCUGGAGUUGAAAAGGGCCUUCACAGAGCUUCAAGCCAAAGUUAUUGACACUCCACAGAAGGUGAAGCUUGCAGACAUACAGAUUGAGCAGCUAAACAGAAUGAAAAAGCAUGCACAUCUUACAGAUACAGAGAUUAUGACUUUGGUAGAUGAAACUAACAUGUAUGAAGGUGUAGGAAGAAUAUUUAUUCUUCAGUCCAAGGAGAUAAUUCACAAUCAGCUGUUAGAGAAACAAAGAAUAGCAGAAGACAAAAUAAAAGAAUUAGAACAGAAAAAAUCCUACCUGGAGCGGAGCGUUAAGGAAGCUGAAGACAAAAUCAGGGAGAUGCUGAUGGCACGAAGGGCCCAGUAGGGAGCCUCCAGGGAAAGCUCUUCCUUCUGACCCCUGCUCUGACGGACGUUUCAUCUGGGUGGCCUAGCAACCUCACAUUUUCUACAUAAAUCGUGAGCCCUUUCAGAUCUCAGCCCUGUAAUUUUCACCCUGGCUCUGCCUGCCACCCUGCCUAGACACUCUUCUUUUUUGGCGUGAGUCGCAAACUCCCAGGAGAGGGAAGAGGAGAGCCAGGACAGAGAAGGAAGCUCCCCCUGAGCCUGCCACUGCACGCACUGACCAGACCAAUAAAAGGCACCCGUCCCACCCUG